AACAAUGCCGAAUGACUUUAUCAAAAUCUAUUUAAAAUGAAGUAUAUCAAUAUUUUUGUUAUCAUAACUGAUUUUAGGAUGAAUAUUUUACCAUAUUUUGGAAUUUAUAAAGGGUACAAGUGUCUAGAUUUGAAAGUUUUCAUGCAAUUUUAGAGCCAAUAUUUUUCAAUUUUGGUGCCCUAGACUCUUUAUUCUCUCAUAUCACUGCCUUGCUAUUCAAGCAGCAAUGCCUUUACUUUAACCCAUUCAAAGCAGCUAUGGCCGAGUUGGUUAAGGCGAUGGACUCGAAAUUAGAAAUUUUGGAAAAAAAAAAAUGAAAACUUCAUUUCAAGAAUGGAAAAUAUAUCAAUUCUAGUUAUCCAUUGGGAUUUUUCCCGCACAGGUUCGAAUCCUGUUGGCUGCGAAAAGUGUGGUUUCUUUUUGUUCAAUCAAAAAAACACUGUUUUUACGAAUUAAAUUCUAUGUAAUACAACACCAUAAAAUAAAAAUUAAAAUAAAUUUAUUUUUA
This is a long non-coding RNA of Dermatophagoides farinae (American house dust mite), 508 nucleotides long. RefSeq lists it as uncharacterized. NCBI's taxonomy places the organism in Eukaryota, Metazoa, Arthropoda, Arachnida, Sarcoptiformes, Pyroglyphidae. The record is from RefSeq and is a predicted model, not a curated record.